UUAUUUUUUCGUGUAGGUAUUUGCAUUAGAGCGAUUUACUAUCUUUCAACAACUAUUUCCAUCCAGUUUUCCUUUAAUGGUUGAGUGGGCAAAGAUAUAUAAACCGUAUACCAAAAAUUGUGCCAACAGAAGUGGGGGACACUAUCAAGAGAUGCUUGUAGACAUGAAGGAAGAUGAGGUACCUAACAAAAUUUCAUCUCUUUGUCAUAUGCAUUUGUUCUAUAUUAAAUACUUAGAUUAUAUUUUUUCAGAUUAAGUGGCAGCCAUAUAGCAAAGUUAUAUUGCCCAAGGAAUACACCUCUCAAUUGAGUAUGGUAUUUGCACAUGUUCCAUGCAUCUGCUUUAACACCAUCGCAUACAACCGAACUAUUUGGGAGAGCCACUAAAUAGUUUUCCGAUUAGGAAUGACGAGACCUUGGAGAUGGGAGAGCCACCAAACAAGUGGAAUGAAAGCAAUAGAUGGGUUGACCAUUCACAUGUCACUGAGGUGGUCGAGACUUUGCCGGAGAAAACCAGUAAAUCGGCUGAUGCAAAUGUGAAUUGUCUUUUUUUUUUUUU
This 558-nucleotide small RNA is filed under the name Arabidopsis thaliana (thale cress). RNAcentral's name for it is "ATSL105080". Lineage: Eukaryota; Viridiplantae; Streptophyta; Magnoliopsida; Brassicales; Brassicaceae. The record is from RNAcentral.